UACGUAGGCAGCAAGCGUUGUUCGGAGUUACUGGGCGUAAAGGGUGCGUAGGCGGCUUUUUAAGUUUGGUGUGAAAUCUCCCGGCUCAACUGGGAGGGUGCGCCGAAUACUGAGAGGCUAGAGUGCGGGAGAGGAAAGUGGAAUUCCUGGUGUAGCGGUGAAAUGCGUAGAUAUCAGGAGGAACACCUGUGGCGAAAGCGGCUCACUGGACCAUAACUGACGCUGAUGCACGAAAGCUAGGGGAGCAAACAGG
Molecule: ribosomal RNA, 253 nt
Filed under: uncultured bacterium
Lineage: Bacteria
Description: partial 16S ribosomal RNA
Rfam family: Bacterial small subunit ribosomal RNA
Source: RNAcentral